This 253-nucleotide ribosomal RNA is filed under the name uncultured bacterium. RNAcentral describes it as "partial 16S ribosomal RNA". It matches the Rfam family "Bacterial small subunit ribosomal RNA", at positions 524 to 776 of the family's 1533-position model. The record is from RNAcentral.
UACGUAGGGUGCAAGCGUUAAUCGGAAUUACUGGGCGUAAAGUGUGCGCAGGCGGCCGCGCAAGUCGAGUGUGAAAGCCCCGAGCUUAACUUGGGAAUUGCGCUCGAAACUACGUGGCUGGAGUGUGGCAGAGGAAGGUGGAAUUCCAGGUGUAGCGGUGAAAUGCGUAGAGAUCUGGAGGAACACCGAUGGCGAAGGCAGCCUUCUGGGCCAACACUGACGCUCAUGCACGAAAGCGUUGGGAGCAAACAGG